This 2092-nucleotide ribosomal RNA is filed under the name Staphylococcus aureus. RNAcentral's name for it is "partial 23S ribosomal RNA". It matches the Rfam family "Bacterial large subunit ribosomal RNA", at positions 810 to 2904 of the family's 2925-position model. The record is from RNAcentral. Lineage: Bacteria; Bacillati; Bacillota; Bacilli; Caryophanales; Staphylococcaceae.
UGAGGGUAGCGGAGAAAUUCCAAUCGAACCUGGAGAUAGCUGGUUCUCUCCGAAAUAGCUUUAGGGCUAGCCUCAAGUGAUGAUUAUUGGAGGUAGAGCACUGUUUGGACGAGGGGCCCCUCUCGGGUUACCGAAUUCAGACAAACUCCGAAUGCCAAUUAAUUUAACUUGGGAGUCAGAACAUGGGUGAUAAGGUCCGUGUUCGAAAGGGAAACAGCCCAGACCACCAGCUAAGGUCCCAAAAUAUAUGUUAAGUGGAAAAGGAUGUGGCGUUGCCCAGACAACUAGGAUGUUGGCUUAGAAGCAGCCAUCAUUUAAAGAGUGCGUAAUAGCUCACUAGUCGAGUGACACUGCGCCGAAAAUGUACCGGGGCUAAACAUAUUACCGAAGCUGUGGAUUGUCCUUUGGACAAUGGUAGGAGAGCGUUCUAAGGGCGUUGAAGCAUGAUCGUAAGGACAUGUGGAGCGCUUAGAAGUGAGAAUGCCGGUGUGAGUAGCGAAAGACGGGUGAGAAUCCCGUCCACCGAUUGACUAAGGUUUCCAGAGGAAGGCUCGUCCGCUCUGGGUUAGUCGGGUCCUAAGCUGAGGCCGACAGGCGUAGGCGAUGGAUAACAGGUUGAUAUUCCUGUACCACCUAUAAUCGUUUUAAUCGAUGGGGGGACGCAGUAGGAUAGGCGAAGCGUGCGAUUGGAUUGCACGUCUAAGCAGUAAGGCUGAGUAUUAGGCAAAUCCGGUACUCAUUAAGGCUGAGCUGUGAUGGGGAGAAGACAUUGUGUCUUCGAGUCGUUGAUUUCACACUGCCGAGAAAAGCCUCUAGAUAGAAAAUAGGUGCCCGUACCGCAAACCGACACAGGUAGUCAAGAUGAGAAUUCUAAGGUGAGCGAGCGAACUCUCGUUAAGGAACUCGGCAAAAUGACCCCGUAACUUCGGGAGAAGGGGUGCUCUUUAGGGUUAACGCCCAGAAGAGCCGCAGUGAAUAGGCCCAAGCGACUGUUUAUCAAAAACACAGGUCUCUGCUAAACCGUAAGGUGAUGUAUAGGGGCUGACGCCUGCCCGGUGCUGGAAGGUUAAGAGGAGUGGUUAGCUUCUGCGAAGCUACGAAUCGAAGCCCCAGUAAACGGCGGCCGUAACUAUAACGGUCCUAAGGUAGCGAAAUUCCUUGUCGGGUAAGUUCCGACCCGCACGAAAGGCGUAACGAUUUGGGCACUGUCUCAACGAGAGACUCGGUGAAAUCAUAGUACCUGUGAAGAUGCAGGUUACCCGCGACAGGACGGAAAGACCCCGUGGAGCUUUACUGUAGCCUGAUAUUGAAAUUCGGCACAGCUUGUACAGGAUAGGUAGGAGCCUUUGAAACGUGAGCGCUAGCUUACGUGGAGGCGCUGGUGGGAUACUACCCUAGCUGUGUUGGCUUUCUAACCCGCACCACUUAUCGUGGUGGGAGACAGUGUCAGGCGGGCAGUUUGACUGGGGCGGUCGCCUCCUAAAAGGUAACGGAGGCGCUCAAAGGUUCCCUCAGAAUGGUUGGAAAUCAUUCAUAGAGUGUAAAGGCAUAAGGGAGCUUGACUGCGAGACCUACAAGUCGAGCAGGGUCGAAAGACGGACUUAGUGAUCCGGUGGUUCCGCAUGGAAGGGCCAUCGCUCAACGGAUAAAAGCUACCCCGGGGAUAACAGGCUUAUCUCCCCCAAGAGUUCACAUCGACGGGGAGGUUUGGCACCUCGAUGUCGGCUCAUCGCAUCCUGGGGCUGUAGUCGGUCCCAAGGGUUGGGCUGUUCGCCCAUUAAAGCGGUACGCGAGCUGGGUUCAGAACGUCGUGAGACAGUUCGGUCCCUAUCCGUCGUGGGCGUAGGAAAUUUGAGAGGAGCUGUCCUUAGUACGAGAGGACCGGGAUGGACAUACCUCUGGUGUACCAGUUGUCGUGCCAACGGCAUAGCUGGGUAGCUAUGUGUGGACGGGAUAAGUGCUGAAAGCAUCUAAGCAUGAAGCCCCCCUCAAGAUGAGAUUUCCCAACUUCGGUUAUAAGAUCCCUCAAAGAUGAUGAGGUUAAUAGGUUCGAGGUGGAAGCAUGGUGACAUGUGGAGCUGACGAAUACUAA